CCUACGGGCGGCAGCAGUGGGGAAUAUUGGACAAUGGGGGAAACCCUGAUCCAGCGACGCCGCGUGAGUGAAGAAGUAUUUCGGUAUGUAAAGCUCUGUCAGCAGGGAAGAAAGAAAUGACGGUACCUGACCAAGAAGCCCCGGCUAACUACGUGCCAGCAGCCGCGGUAAUACGUAGGGGGGAAGCGUUAUCCGGAAUUACUGGGUGUAAAGGGGGAGUCGACGGUGAUGCACGGCAGGAGUGAAAGGCGGGGGCUCAACCCCCGGACUGCUCUGGAAACUGUGUAACUUGAGUGCAGGAGAGGUAAGCGGAAUUCCUAGUGUAGCGGUGAAAUGCGUAGAUAUUAGGAGGAACACCAGUGGCGAAGGCGGCUUACUGGACUGUAACUGACGUUGAGGCUCGAAAGCGUGGGGAGCAAACAGGAUUAGAUACCCCAGUAGUC
This 443-nucleotide ribosomal RNA is filed under the name uncultured bacterium. RNAcentral's name for it is "partial 16S ribosomal RNA". It matches the Rfam family "Bacterial small subunit ribosomal RNA", at positions 338 to 795 of the family's 1533-position model. The record is from RNAcentral.